GACACUGUACCACAGUUUCUCAGACAAAAAUGUUCAUAAUCAGUUUAUAAAUCCACAUAUGCCGAUGAAACUACACGUUAUAAGAUGGUGGAUUCAGCUGAUCCAGGAGCUCCAGGAAAAGCGAAACCCGCUGAAUGAGUGGAUCAGACUUUUCAGCCCGUAAGAGACGAGAAUAGACGCUCUUGUAGAUCUUCACCUGCUCCUCUUCUUUACCACUGCAUAGGAAAACAAUACAUCACAGACAGAAAGAGCGUGGGAAUUCUGCAUACAGACCUUGGCAGGAGCUCUCGCGGUGCAGGCAGUGGAGGAUCUCCUGGUCAUCUUUGGUCUGAUAGCUGUACUCCUCCAGAUACGCAGCUCUGUUUGAGGCAUUCUGGGCCAACAUGAGCUGAACAUCUCCACACAGAGACAGACACUGGCAGUGGAAAAGAAGCACCUGUGCGUGGAGACCGCCACUAAUGGAGCAGUAUGCAUCUGCAAAGGAACAAAGCAUAUACAAAUCAGCUCUCCGACAGACUUGAUGACGGCCACAGCUUUGGAGUCGUGCUGCGGUUCAGAGGCAGUGCUGAAGGAGCAUCUCUCGUCUUCAUCUUCCUCCUCAUCCUCCUCAUCUUCAUCACUGUAGCUGUCUUCAGAUCCUCCUCCUCUCAGCGACUCCCCAUUGCCUUCGUCUUCACUCACAUCAUCCAGCUGAAACAGUUCUGCCAGCAUGUAGUGAGCCGAAGCGAUGAUCUGCACCAGCAAACGCAAGGAAACGCGUGGGUAGAUUCUGUUCUUUGGGAACCGACGACACGUGACCUAAAGCAUAUGUGUCCACCUGCUCCUGAAAGACACAAGUGAUCCACAUUAAACUUCAGAAACAUUAAAGAAAUGAGAAGCAGAUGAGAGCUGAACACACCUCUUUGGGCAGUGCAGACUCU
This 920-nucleotide long non-coding RNA is filed under the name Danio rerio (zebrafish). RNAcentral describes it as "si:rp71-40n14.5 (ENSDARG00000097624.2)". The record is from RNAcentral. Lineage: Eukaryota; Metazoa; Chordata; Actinopteri; Cypriniformes; Danionidae.